GACGAACGCUGGCGGCGUGCUUAACACAUGCAAGUCGAGCGGUAAGGCCCUUUCGGGGGUACACGAGCGGCGAACGGGUGAGUAACACGUGGGUGACCUGCCCUUAGCUCUGGGAUAAGCCUGGGAAACUGGGUCUAAUACCGGAUAUGACUCCAUGACGCAUGUUGUGGGGUGGAAAGCCUUGUGCGGCUAGGGAUGGGCCCGCGGCCUAUCAGCUUGUUGGUGGGGUGAUGGCCACCAAGGCGACGACGGGUAGCCGGCCUGAGAGGGCGACCGGCCACACUGGGACUGAGACACGGCCCAGACUCCUACGGGAGGCAGCAGGUGGGGAAUCUUGCGCAAUGGGCGAAAGCCUGACGCAGCGACGCCGCGUGAGGGAUGAC
Molecule: ribosomal RNA, 383 nt
Filed under: uncultured bacterium
Lineage: Bacteria
Description: bacterial SSU rRNA
Rfam family: Bacterial small subunit ribosomal RNA
Source: RNAcentral